Molecule: long non-coding RNA, 2019 nt
Filed under: Salmo salar (Atlantic salmon)
Lineage: Eukaryota; Metazoa; Chordata; Actinopteri; Salmoniformes; Salmonidae
Description: lncRNA (ENSSSAG00000111723.1)
Source: RNAcentral
AACACACACAAUAGUUAACAGAAUACUCUAUUCUGUCGAAUAUUACAACCAUUACAAUACAAUACAAGCAUUAUAACAUAAUCAUGCAAUUUUCCACAACAUGAUACAACAGGACUGAUACAACGGAACUGAUACAACAGGACUGAUACAACAGGACUGAUACAGGACUGAUACAGGACUGAUACAACAGGACCGAUACAACAGGACUGAGACAACAGGACUAAUACAACAGGACUGAUACAACGGAACUGAUACAACAGGACUGAUACAAAACAACUGAUACAACAGGACUGAUACAACGGAACUGAUACAACAGGACUGAUACAACAGGACUGAUACAGGACUAAGACAACAGGACUAAUACAACAGGACUGAUACAACAGGACUGAUACAGGACUAAGACAACAGGACUGAUACAACAGGACUAAUACAACAGGACUGAUACAACAGGACUGAUACAGGACUGAUACAGGACUGAUACAACAGGACUGAUACAACAGGACUAAUACAACAGGACUGAUACAACAGGUCUGAUACAGAACUGAUACAACAGGACUAAUACAACGGGACUAAUACAGGACUGAUACAACAGGACUGAUACAACAGGACUGAUACAACAGGACUGAUACAGGACUGAUACAACAGGACUAAUACAACAGGACUGAUACAACAGGACUGAUACAACAGGACUGAUACAACAGGACUGAUACAACAGGACUGAUACAACAGGACUGAUACAACAGGACUAAUACAACAGGACUGAUACAACAGGACUGAUACAGGACUAAUACCACAGGACUGAUACAGGACUGAUACAACAGGACUGAUACAACAGGACUAAUACAACAGGAGUGAUACAACAGGACUAAUACAGGACUGAUACAGAACUGAUGCAGGACUGAUACAACAGGACUAAUACAACAGGACUGAUACAACAGGACUGAUACAACAGGACUGAUACAACAGGACUAAUACAACAGGACUGAUACAACAGGACUGAUACAACAGGACUGAUACAGGACUGAUACAACAGGACUAAUACAACAGGACUGAUAAAACAGGACUAAUACAACAGGACUGAUACAACAGGACUAAUACAACAGGACUAAUACAACAGGACUGAUACCACAGGACUGAUACAACAGGACUGAUACAGGACUGAUACAGAACUGAUACAGGACUGAUACAGCAGGACUAAUACAACAGGACUGAUACAACAGGACUGAUACAACAGGACUGAUACAACAGGACUGAUACAGGACUGAUACAACAGGACUGAUACCACAGGACUGAUACCACAGGACUGAUACAACAGGACUGAUACAACAGGACUAAUACAACAGGACUGAUACAGAACUGAUACAACAGGACUAAUACAGGACUGAUACAGAACUGAUGCAGGACUGAUACAACAGGACUAAUACAACAGGACUGAUACAACAGGACUGAUACAACAGGACUGAUACAACAGGACUGAUAAAGGACUAAUACCACAGGACUGAUACAACAGGACUGAUACAACAGGACUAAUACAACAGGACUGAUACAACAGGACUGAUACAGGACUGAUACAACAGGACUGAUACAACAGGACUGAUACAACAGGACUAAUACAACAGGACUGAUACAACAGGACUGAUACAACAGGACUAAUACAACAGGACUGAUACAACAGGACUGAUAUAGGACUGAUACAGGACUGAUACAACAGGACUGAUACAGGACUGAUACAACAGGAUUGAUACAACAGGACUAUUACAAAAGGACUGAUACAGGACUGAUACAACAGGACUGAUACAGGACUGAAACAACAGGACUGAUACAACAGGACUGAUACAACAGGACUGAUAAAGGACUAAUACAACAGGACUGAUACAACAGGACUGAUACAACAGGACUAAUACAACAGGACUGAUACAACAGGACUGAUACAACAUGACUGAUACAACAGGACUGAUACAGGACUGAUACAACAGGACUAAUACAAAAGGACUGAUACAACAGGACUGAUACAGGACU